Molecule: non-coding RNA, 563 nt
Organism: Sphaeramia orbicularis (orbiculate cardinalfish)
Lineage: Eukaryota; Metazoa; Chordata; Actinopteri; Kurtiformes; Apogonidae
Source: the annotation of a RefSeq genome assembly
UUGAACAUGAUGGACUGUAGGACAGGACUGCUGCUCUUAACUAUCUGCUGGGCAGGUGUUUGGGGUCAGACUCUGAUAGAAUCUGACCCGGCAGUAAAAAGACCUGGAGAAUCCCACAGACUGACCUGUACAACAUCUGGAUUCUCCUUCAGUGGCUCUCACAUGGCCUGGAUCAGACAGGCUCCUGGAAAAGGACUGGAGUGGAUCGCUUGGAUUCAGAGGGAUAGCAGUAACAUCUUCUAUUCCCAGUCAGUCCAAGGUCGUUUCACCAUCUCCAGAGACAACGGCAGAAACCAGCUGUAUCUGCAGAUGAACAGUCUGAAAACUGAAGAUUCUGCUGUUUAUUAUUGUGCACGAGAGACACAGUGACUGGAGUUAGUGAAUCAGCUGUACAAAAUCCUCAAAAACAAUGUUGUUGUUACUUUAUAUGAACACUAGUGGGUUGUGGAUAUCAAGUUGCUGUUUCCUGCAUCCACAGAUAUUCUAAUCAAUCCCAUUAUUAGGAAUUUAUACUGGAAUGAGUGAUUAGUGAAAAUAAAUGAUCAAAUGUUCAAGUUUAUUUU